UACGUAGGGGGCAAGCGUUGUCCGGAAUCAUUGGGCGUAAAGAGCGUGUAGGCGGCCCUGUAAGUCCGCUGUGAAAGUCAAAGGCUCAACCUUUGAAAGCCGGUGGAUACUGCAGGGCUAGAGUCCGGAAGAGGCGAGUGGAAUUCCUGGUGUAGCGGUGGAAUGCGCAGAUAUCAGGAGGAACACCGGUGGCGAAGGCAGCAUCCUGGACCAACACUGACGCUGAGGAGCGAAAGCCAGGGGAGCAAACGGG
RNAcentral lists this ribosomal RNA (253 nucleotides) under uncultured bacterium. RNAcentral's name for it is "partial 16S ribosomal RNA". It matches the Rfam family "Bacterial small subunit ribosomal RNA", at positions 524 to 776 of the family's 1533-position model. The record is from RNAcentral.